AACGUAGGAGACAAACGUUAUCCGGAGUUACUGGGCGUAAAGGGCGUGCAGGCGGCAGUCUAAGUCUGGCGUGAAAUAUCCCGGCUCAACCGGGGAAGGUCGUCGGAUACUGGGCAGCUAGAGGACGGUAGAGGCGUGUGGAAUUCCGGGUGUAGUGGUGAAAUGCGUAGAGAUCCGGAGGAACACCAGUGGCGAAGGCGACACGCUGGGCCGUACCUGACGCUAAGACGCGACAGCAUGGGGAGCAAACAGG
RNAcentral lists this ribosomal RNA (253 nucleotides) under uncultured bacterium. RNAcentral describes it as "partial 16S ribosomal RNA". It matches the Rfam family "Bacterial small subunit ribosomal RNA", at positions 524 to 776 of the family's 1533-position model. The record is from RNAcentral.